CAGCCUCUUGAUGCACAGUGCCGUCCAGGCUUCUGCUGAGUCAUGGUUAGUAAUGCCCCACUGGCCAGGUCCAAGUCCAAAGUAGAGUCGAGAGCCACCUUGUGCUGGAUUGACGCACACGUGGAUUCCCAGGGCUUGGGAAGCCGACGCCACCUGGACUACACAGUGAGACUCUGCCUCAAAACAGAACACAAAGUACACCUCAAGGAACCAACAGAAGAGUGCUUGCCUUACAUGAGCCUCGGGUUCAAUCCCCAGUUCUUCAAAACAACAAAGAAGGUGAGGGCGGCCAGCAGACCAGGCUCUGAGACAAGAAACAUCAUUCACAGUGGCUAAGAGCUCGUGUGACAUUGAAAAACGAGGACCACCGUAAACAAAAUGCACAGAUUGGACCUAAUGGUGCCCCUGCCUCCUGCAGUGGCCACACACCACAAAACUGUCAGACAAGGUCUCCUGUAACAACCCAGGCUGGCCAGAGAGAAGAAGAAAACCUUGAACCGAUUCCUUGGCUUCUACCUCUGAAAUGCUGGGAUUUCAGGCGUGUGCCGCCACCCCAGUUUAUA
Long non-coding RNA from Mus musculus (house mouse), 563 nucleotides. RefSeq annotates it as predicted gene, 41161. The transcript has 3 exons. The record is from RefSeq and is a predicted model, not a curated record. Lineage: Eukaryota; Metazoa; Chordata; Mammalia; Rodentia; Muridae.